UGAGCUCAGGCAAGAACACC
Molecule: ribosomal RNA, 20 nt
Filed under: Trebouxia sp. Mayrhofer13.702
Lineage: Eukaryota; Viridiplantae; Chlorophyta; Trebouxiophyceae; Trebouxiales; Trebouxiaceae
Description: partial 26S ribosomal RNA
Source: RNAcentral